CUCGUGCACACACUUGGCGCGGAUCCCGUGGGGCUGUGGAGCAGCCGCUUUUUAUGCCCAUGCAACUGUGCAGAGUCCUCAGAUAACACAUCCCAAAGCCUGUCAGAGCCAGAGGCACAAGGCCCCACUUAUACUUGGGCAAAGAGAGGCCAGGGGUCUUGCCCAAGUCACUGGCAAAGCCGCAGCUCAGACCCCGGCGUCGGUUUCCAGGCCCCUCCUCUCUGCUCCGCUCCUCUCCAGGCCCCUCCUCUCUGCUCCGCUCCUCUCCAGGCCCCUCCCAGUUUUUGGUUAAACUUCUCAUGUCACGUUUUCUGACAACACCUUCCAUUGUACCAUCUGUUUCUGAACAAUACCUGGGACAUUGCAAACUUGUUCUGCAAGAAUACCCUGGGUCUCAGUGUGUGUGACAAGGGAUGGAAGAAUUCACCAGUAAAACCACCUGGACCUGAAAUUUUUUCAUGGGAAAGUUUUUGAUGAUGUAUUCAAUCUCUACUCAAAUGUUCUAUUUCAUCUUGUGUCAAUUUUGAGUUUUGCUCUUGUUGCCCAAGCUGGAGUUCAAUGGUGUGAUCUCGGCUCACUGCAACCUCCACCUCCUGGGUUCAAGUGAUUCUCCUGCCUCAUCCUCCUGAGUAGCUGGGAUUACAGUAGAUACGUGGUCUUGCUAUGUUGCCCAGGCUGGUCUCAGACUCCUGGGCUCAAAGGAUCUGCCUGCCUCAGCCUCCGGAAGUGCUGGGAUUACAGGUGUGAGCCACUGUACUCCGCCACAGGAGCGUGUGGCCGGGGACUCGUGCAUGCCAGGGAAGAGCACUGGCUUCCGGAUCCUCUGACUUCACCAUGUGACUUGGCCAGCAAUGACCCUGGGUUAGAGAUAGGUGGAGCGGAGGCAGGCAGUGGUCAGAGACCCCAGACAUGGGGUCCUGGCACCACAACUGUGAUUUUCCAUCACUUUAGAGGCACCAACAGGGGUCCCUCUGGAAACGUGGAGCAGAAUCAUCCAGGAUCCCGAAGAGGACUUUGUCCUCCUGCCCAUUUCCAGUUCCUCUCCCAUCUCCUCUGGUUUCCAGAAGCAGCACAUCCCCGGCCCCACCCCUCAUCUGUAUACGGAUCCUCCUAAUGCAGACCCAGGUGAUGGAAAACCCGUCUACAACGAACCAAGGCUGUUCGUGCUUUCAAAUAUUAAAUUCUGUUCAGAAUAUUAAAUAAUUUCAUCUUCAGUGAUCCCAGUAAAUUUAAUUAGCUCUUGUUCUCCCAAUAGAGUUGUCUCUUGGUUGCUGAAAUGUUGCAUUCUCAAGGAAGGAGGCCCACAUUCCUGCAGCGCGGAGGGCUCGCUGUCUCCCUGCGCAGCCUGCCCUGCCGCAGGCACCACGGCACAUCGGCUGCCAGGAUCCCCUGUGCCCUGGCAGGAGGCGGAUGACACGGAGCUCUGCUGUCCGUGAGCUGUUCAUUCUCUGGGGGCAGGGAGAACCUUGAGGGAUCUGCUGGGUACCCUCCGU
RNAcentral lists this long non-coding RNA (1493 nucleotides) under Homo sapiens (human). RNAcentral describes it as "HSALNT0391996". Lineage: Eukaryota; Metazoa; Chordata; Mammalia; Primates; Hominidae. The record is from RNAcentral.